This 307-nucleotide small nuclear RNA is filed under the name Heterocephalus glaber (naked mole-rat). RNAcentral describes it as "7SK RNA". It matches the Rfam family "7SK RNA". Rfam says of the family: 7SK was discovered as an abundant small nuclear RNA in the mid-70s but a possible function has only recently been suggested. Lineage: Eukaryota; Metazoa; Chordata; Mammalia; Rodentia; Bathyergidae. The record is from Rfam by way of RNAcentral.
GGACAUGAGGGUGAUGUGGCUACAACACCUAGCACCCCAUUGAUCACCAGGGUUGAUUUGGCUAAUCUUGCCAGUUAGGUGAAUGUCCCCUGCCUCCCUCACUGAUCCAUGUAUGUCCCUCCUAAAGCUGCACACUCUGUUCUAAGAAUCGUUCUCCAGUCAAAAGUGUAUGAGGAAAAAAAAGUGUAUGAGUAAUGCACUCCCCUGGUAGAACUCUCAGGCAGCAUGUGUAGGACAACAUGAGUUAGCCAAACUUCCAAGACUGAAGACAUAUCAAAUGAGGCACUGCAGGUGCCAGACUGCCUUU